Molecule: ribosomal RNA, 2842 nt
Filed under: Salmonella enterica subsp. enterica serovar Litchfield
Lineage: Bacteria; Pseudomonadati; Pseudomonadota; Gammaproteobacteria; Enterobacterales; Enterobacteriaceae
Description: partial 23S ribosomal RNA
Rfam family: Bacterial large subunit ribosomal RNA
Source: RNAcentral
AAUCCAUAGGUUAAUGAGGCGAACCGGGGGAACUGAAACAUCUAAGUACCCCGAGGAAAAGAAAUCAACCGAGAUUCCCCCAGUAGCGGCGAGCGAACGGGGAGGAGCCCAGAGCCUGAAUCAGCAUGUGUGUUAGUGGAAGCGUCUGGAAAGGCGCGCGAUACAGGGUGACAGCCCCGUACACAAAAGCGCAUGUGCUGUGAGCUCGAUGAGUAGGGCGGGACACGUGGUAUCCUGUCUGAAUAUGGGGGGACCAUCCUCCAAGGCUAAAUACUCCUGACUGACCGAUAGUGAACCAGUACCGUGAGGGAAAGGCGAAAAGAACCCCGGCGAGGGGAGUGAAAAAGAACCUGAAACCGUGUACGUACAAGCAGUGGGAGCACAGGUUUACCUGUGUGACUGCGUACCUUUUGUAUAAUGGGUCAGCGACUUAUAUUCUGUAGCAAGGUUAACCGAAUAGGGGAGCCGGAGGGAAACCGAGUCUUAAUUGGGCGUUAAGUUGCAGGGUAUAGACCCGAAACCCGGUGAUCUAGCCAUGGGCAGGUUGAAGGUUGGGUAACACUAACUGGAGGACCGAACCGACUAAUGUUGAAAAAUUAGCGGAUGACCUGUGGCUGGGGGUGAAAGGCCAAUCAAACCGGGAGAUAGCUGGUUCUCCCCGAAAGCUAUUUAGGUAGCGCCUCGUGAAUUCAUCUCCGGGGGUAGAGCACUGUUUCGGCUAGGGGGCCAUCCCGGCUUACCAACCCGAUGCAAACUGCGAAUACCGGAGAAUGUUAUCACGGGAGACACACGGCGGGUGCUAACGUCCGUCGUGAAGAGGGAAACAACCCAGACCGCCAGCUAAGGUCCCAAAGUCAUGGUUAAGUGGGAAACGAUGUGGGAAGGCCCAGACAGCCAGGAUGUUGGCUUAGAAGCAGCCAUCAUUUAAAGAAAGCGUAAUAGCUCACUGGUCGAGUCGGCCUGCGCGGAAGAUGUAACGGGGCUAAACCAUGCACCGAAGCUGCGGCAGCGAACGUAUCACUUAAAGCGAUUCAGCGGGUUACGAUUGACGGAGCGAAGCGACGUCAAAGCGUAUACAAAGUCGAGUCGGUUUAAGGAUACGUUCGUUGGGUAGGGGAGCGUUCUGUAAGCCUGUGAAGGUGGCCUGUGAGGGUUGCUGGAGGUAUCAGAAGUGCGAAUGCUGACAUAAGUAACGAUAAAGCGGGUGAAAAGCCCGCUCGCCGGAAGACCAAGGGUUCCUGUCCAACGUUAAUCGGGGCAGGGUGAGUCGACCCCUAAGGCGAGGCCGAAAGGCGUAGUCGAUGGGAAACGGGUUAAUAUUCCCGUACUUGGUGUUACUGCGAAGGGGGGACGGAGAAGGCUAUGUUGGCCGGGCGACGGUUGUCCCGGUUUAAGCGUGUAGGUGUGUGUUCCAGGUAAAUCCGGUUCACUUUAACACUGAGGCGUGAUGACGAGGCACUACGGUGCUGAAGCAACAAAUGCCCUGCUUCCAGGAAAAGCCUCUAAGCAUCAGGUAACAUCAAAUCGUACCCCAAACCGACACAGGUGGUCAGGUAGAGAAUACCAAGGCGCUUGAGAGAACUCGGGUGAAGGAACUAGGCAAAAUGGUGCCGUAACUUCGGGAGAAGGCACGCUGACACGUAGGUGAAGUGAUUUACUCACGGAGCUGAAGUCAGUCGAAGAUACCAGCUGGCUGCAACUGUUUAUUAAAAACACAGCACUGUGCAAACACGAAAGUGGACGUAUACGGUGUGACGCCUGCCCGGUGCCGGAAGGUUAAUUGAUGGGGUCAGCGCAAGCGAAGCUCCUGAUCGAAGCCCCGGUAAACGGCGGCCGUAACUAUAACGGUCCUAAGGUAGCGAAAUUCCUUGUCGGGUAAGUUCCGACCUGCACGAAUGGCGUAAUGAUGGCCAGGCUGUCUCCACCCGAGACUCAGUGAAAUUGAACUCGCUGUGAAGAUGCAGUGUACCCGCGGCAAGACGGAAAGACCCCGUGAACCUUUACUAUAGCUUGACACUGAACAUUGAGCCUUGAUGUGUAGGAUAGGUGGGAGGCUUUGAAGUGUGGACGCCAGUCUGCAUGGAGCCGACCUUGAAAUACCACCCUUUAAUGUUUGAUGUUCUAACGUGGACCCGUAAUCCGGGUUGCGGACAGUGUCUGGUGGGUAGUUUGACUGGGGCGGUCUCCUCCUAAAGAGUAACGGAGGAGCACGAAGGUUGGCUAAUCCUGGUCGGACAUCAGGAGGUUAGUGCAAUGGCAUAAGCCAGCUUGACUGCGAGCGUGACGGCGCGAGCAGGUGCGAAAGCAGGUCAUAGUGAUCCGGUGGUUCUGAAUGGAAGGGCCAUCGCUCAACGGAUAAAAGGUACUCCGGGGAUAACAGGCUGAUACCGCCCAAGAGUUCAUAUCGACGGCGGUGUUUGGCACCUCGAUGUCGGCUCAUCACAUCCUGGGGCUGAAGUAGGUCCCAAGGGUAUGGCUGUUCGCCAUUUAAAGUGGUACGCGAGCUGGGUUUAGAACGUCGUGAGACAGUUCGGUCCCUAUCUGCCGUGGGCGCUGGAGAACUGAGGGGGGCUGCUCCUAGUACGAGAGGACCGGAGUGGACGCAUCACUGGUGUUCGGGUUGUCAUGCCAAUGGCACUGCCCGGUAGCUAAAUGCGGAAGAGAUAAGUGCUGAAAGCAUCUAAGCACGAAACUUGCCCCGAGAUGAGUUCUCCCUGAGACUUAGAGUCUCCUGAAGGAACGUUGAAGACGACGACGUUGAUAGGCCGGGUGUGUAAGCGCAGCGAUGCGUUGAGCUAACCGGUACUAAUGAACCGUGAGGCUUAACCUUACAACGCCGAAG